Molecule: long non-coding RNA, 406 nt
Organism: Calypte anna (Anna's hummingbird)
Lineage: Eukaryota; Metazoa; Chordata; Aves; Apodiformes; Trochilidae
Exons: 3
Source: RefSeq, a predicted model, not a curated record
ACCCUGCCCAGUGGGUCAUCACUUGGACUUCCAGCUGUUUCAGGAUCUCUGAGCCUCUGGUUCUGGUGUCCCCCAGAGCUGCCCCCUGGGACCAAAGGGUUCUGUGGCCUCCAGGAGUCCUGCAGGAAAUUUCUCCACGUCCUCUGGAGGCAUUUCCCACACUCUGACCCAAGCCAAGGAGCAUCCCUGGGGUCUGGGAGGGGUCUGCAACCUCAAUGAGCCCAACACUGCCCUGUGGCACCUUUGAGGUUCAGCUGCUGGAAAGGAGUCAAGAUGAGGACUGAAGGCCCUGUGAACAGCAACAUUGGGUGGGCACCCAUCUCCCUCCCUGCCUGCACCCAAAAGGGGACCUGCUGGGGAAGCCCUGGGAACCUUAGAACCAUGGAACUGAUCAGGUUGGAAAAAA